RNAcentral lists this ribosomal RNA (305 nucleotides) under uncultured bacterium. Its description in RNAcentral is "bacterial SSU rRNA". It matches the Rfam family "Bacterial small subunit ribosomal RNA", at positions 28 to 333 of the family's 1533-position model. The record is from RNAcentral.
GAUGAACGCUAGCGGCAGGCCUAACACAUGCAAGUCGAGGGGCAGCACGUCUUCGGAUGGUGGCGACCGGCGCACGGGUGCGUAACGCGUAUGCAACCUACCUCUUACAGUGGGAUAGCCCAGAGAGAUUUGGAUUAAUACCGCAUAGUAUACAGAUUCAGCAUUGGGACUGUAUUAAACAUUUAUGGGUAAGAGAUGGGCAUGCGUUCUAUUAGUUAGUUGGAGUGGUAACGGCACCCCAACGACAGCGAUAGAUAGGGCCCGUGAGAGGGGGAGUCCCCACACUGGUACUGAGACACGGACCA